Equus quagga is the source of this 2317-nucleotide long non-coding RNA. RefSeq lists it as uncharacterized. Lineage: Eukaryota; Metazoa; Chordata; Mammalia; Perissodactyla; Equidae. The transcript is spliced from 3 exons. The record is from RefSeq and is a predicted model, not a curated record.
AGGCCAAGAUGCAAUUAUGAUCUUUCAUUUGCUGAGGUGGCUACAAAGAACACUGGAUCAUAAGUUCCAAGAGGGCAAUAUCCUUUUUCUGUUUAAUUCAUCACUGCCUUCACAAUGUCUAUGAAUGACCAGACGCAAGGUACUCAGCAACUAAGAGUCUAUUCAGCUUUGAAAUAUUUAGCCCUGAAGACUUAAGUCUCCAAACUCUGCACAAGAGAUCUCAAACCACAGGCAUGGAUAUUCCCGAGGAAAGGAGCAUGGGAUGACAUGAUGAGGCAAGAUGCUGCUUGCCCCCAGCCAAAUCUCAUGACCCAACCACACAGUCUAAGAGGUUCGUGUUAAGUUGCUUUAGUAAACUAAGAACAGUGAAAGAAGAAAUUGCAAAUUCACUUGGAUGUAAGGUUUUUCUUACUGAAGAAAAGCUCAAAGGCUAUGCAGACCAGUGAUGAUUUCCCGGCAACAUUAUGAUUUCACCUCUUCAGGAAAAUGCCCCUGUGAGGAGGCCUUGCUUUCUCUCUGACCACCGAUGGAUCUGAACUGAGUCUCAGUUACUAGCUUCCAUUUUCAAAGACCUCAUAUCUAGAAGAAUCUUUGCAGAGAAUUUGUCAAGUGCCUCCCUGUCCUUAAUUGGUCUGUUGUGUUAUCCCUACUUGCACGCUAGUGUCCAAAGUUAUUCUUUCCAGAGUGUGGGUCACAAUGCUCCUUUAAAGACAGAAGUGAGAGAGACAGGUCACACCAAAUUUAGAACUGAGGCAGAGCCCUGUGAUUUAGAGAGUACCAAGGGUGUGUAGGGGUGGUUUCUAGAAGUCCAAAGGUGAAGCUCACCUUAAAAAAACACAGGGCCUUGCAGGACAUUCAGAACAGAAGAAUCAAUGCUUGUAAUGAGUAGAAUGAAUAGAAUAUUCUAAACUGAGUAGAAUUUGGCGCCCAGUCAUUGAAAUGGAAGUGGUCUGUAGAACCCACUUUGCACAUAUCCUGGCCAACUCAGAAGUAAUAAAAUGCAAAUAUUUAAAGUAAGGAUCUAGGUUUCUUGGUGUACUAUUAGAGUCCACUUGAAUAAAUUGAUGCAGUUUGCUCUCCCUGGGGUCUGAAACACAGUACAGGGCAGAUCUUCCUCGAUUUACGAUGAGAUUACACCCGGAUAAACCCUCAGAAAUUGAAAAUAAUUUAAGUUGAAAAUGCACUUAACACACCUAACCAAGUGAACAUCCUAUCUUAGCCUAGCUGACCUUAAACGUGCUCAGAACACUUAGAUGAGCCUACAGUUGGGCAAAAUCAUCUAACACAAAGCCUGUUUUAUAAUAAAGCCUGUUUUAUAAUAAAGUGGUGACUAUCUCGUGUAAUUUAUCAAAUGCUGUACUGAAAGUGAAAAAUAGAACGGUUGGAGGGGUACAGAGUGGUUGUAAGCAUAUAAGUGUUUACCCUCGUAAUCACGUGGUGACUGGGAGCUGAGGCUGCCACUGCCCAGCGCCAGAGAGAGGGUCAUACAGCAUAUCGCCAGCCCAGGAAAAGAUCAAAAUUCAAAAUUCCAAGUUUGGUUUCUACUGAAUGCAUUGCUUUCGUACCAUGAUAAAGUUGAACCAUCCUAAGUUGGGGCUGUCUGUAUUAGCAGAGUUUUGCAUUUUUGCCCAAGCUGUACGGUGCUGGCUUGCCUGAGUCUCCAUGGAUUUCAGGUCACUAGGCUUAGUCAAAGUCCCAUUAAAAUAUAGAAUGUAAUUCUGCGUGAGGGAAGGAAGAAGAUAAAGGGCAGCCUGACAGCACGCCUAGUCAAUCCUCUUAUCAAGGUCACACAGCUAUCAGUGUCUCAGAGGGAUUUCCAGGCCAAAAGUAAUUCUUUUGUGUUUGUUUUACAAUAAUAGCGGCAUUUCCUCAACUCCCCAGUUUCCACAGAGACCAACUCCAUCAAAUGUCGUGUACAAGUACAAGUAGGACCCACCUUGUCCUCACUUUUUCCUGACCAGCCUUUUUCUCCUGGAUAAUGCCCUCUAGAUAGAUCGCUCACUAUGUCAGUCGGAAAUCAUAAUUUAUUUUCACUCAUGCAGAAGAAGUCUGGAGACAUGCAAUUAAGACUUGCACUCUUUCCUACUUUUCUAGUUUUCCUUGGAAGGGGUGUCCUUGAUUCUCAUUCUCACAAGAUGGCUGUAGGAACUUCAACUACCAAGUUUAAGGUCUGGGUAAGGAGAAGAAUGAAGACAGGGAGUAAAAGGAUAUAUGACAGCUAAGGCAGCCCCAAGAGAAGAACUUUCUUUUUUUUUCCUUGCUUUCCUUCUGGUUGUUUUUUUUUUUUUUUUUUGAGGAAGAUUAGCCCUGAGCUAAC